GGGCCAUUGUCUUUCAGGAUGUCGCCCUGGGGAGCCUGCUUGUUACAGGGCAUUUGAGACCUGAGCCUACAGAAGGGAGGAAGAGUCCAUCUCCCACCCCCAUCUCCCAGAGCCCGGCAGACCCCAGUGCAGGGGCUGGGAAGCCAGGUGGAGGUGUGUUUAUUUACUACUGGACAAAGGGGAAGGGAGAGCACUGUUCCUGCUGUCCACCUUUGGAAACCCAUGUGGAGGCCUUUCCUCACUCAUCCUGGGAUAUAGACGCUGGCCAGCUGACUGCAGCUGGGCUCUCCUGGGGGACUCCUGAACCCCUCCCUACAUGGAUGACCCAUGUACCUCAAACAGUGGGAACCAGGAGAUCCUCUGUUCUCUUCAGCUCUCAACCAGUGCGCCUGCGCCACUUCAAGAGUGCGCCUUCUCUCCAGCAGGUGGGAGGAACUAGGUUGCCUCAGGCGCACCUGCAAAAAAUCUGCAGUUGACCGGACAUUUUUCCCCCUCAAUCCAUUACUGCUUUUGCUAAAAACUGAGUGAAUGAAAAGGAAACAUUUCCCGAGGUCAGGGCUCUCUCUGAUUGUUUCCUUAAUAACACACAAUGACUUAACCCUGUUUAUUCCAUUCUAAGCACUGGGAACAGGGACAGAAGAAAAUGCCAAGUAGUUGUACUUUUCUAAACAGGUCCCCAAACACUGACUGUGUUAUUUCAUUCACACAAACAAGGUUGGUGAUACUGGUAUUGACAUUUUUAAAGUGAGCCCUUAAGGACCAAGGAGCAGGGUUUGUGUGAGGACACGUCUUCUGACUGUUCUUCCUAUACAGUCUCCUGCCUUUUAGGGAAGGUCAUGGGCAUGGC
This 847-nucleotide long non-coding RNA is filed under the name Marmota monax (woodchuck). The record is from RNAcentral. Lineage: Eukaryota; Metazoa; Chordata; Mammalia; Rodentia; Sciuridae.